Molecule: ribosomal RNA, 485 nt
Filed under: uncultured bacterium
Lineage: Bacteria
Description: bacterial SSU rRNA
Rfam family: Bacterial small subunit ribosomal RNA
Source: RNAcentral
GAUGAACGCUAGGCGGGAGGCUUAACACAUGCAAGUCGAGGGGCAGCACUGAUAGCAAUAUUAGGUGGCGACCGGCGGACGGGUGAGUAACGCGUAUGCAACCUACCCUUUACAGGGGGAUAGCCCGGAGAAAUUCGGAUUAAUACCCCAUAGAUCAGUGAUUCUGCAUGGGAUUACUGGUAAAGCUUCGGCGGUAAAGGAUGGGCAUGCGUCCCAUUAGCUAGUUGGUAGGGUAACGGCCUACCAAGGCAACGAUGGGUACGGGGUCUUAAAGGAUGGACCCGCACACUGGCACUGAGACACGGGCCAGACUCCUACGGGAGGCAGCAGUGAGGAAUAUUGGUCAAUGGGGGGAACCCUGAACCAGCCAUCCCGCGUGCAGGAAGACAGUUCUAUGGAUUGUAAACUGCUUUUCUUGGGGAAGAAUAAUGACGACGUGUCGUCAGAUGACGGUACCCGAGGAAUAAGCAUCGGCUAACUCCGUG